Long non-coding RNA from Lutra lutra (Eurasian river otter), 2123 nucleotides. RefSeq lists it as uncharacterized. Lineage: Eukaryota; Metazoa; Chordata; Mammalia; Carnivora; Mustelidae. The transcript is spliced from 3 exons. The record is from RefSeq and is a predicted model, not a curated record.
AAAAUUCCUUCUUUUAGCACUGUAGUUGCAGCCUUGGCCCAGGGACCACGGCACCAGCUCUAUGCACAAUGUGAACUCACAACCCCCAAGAUCAAGAGUCACAUAUUCUGACUGAGCAGCUAGGUGCCCCUGUAGUGUCUUCUUUACGAGAAGUCAGAGGAGAAGCUUCUGCCAAAUGUCAGUUCCAGAAAGAUCUGUACUUCUCUCAAGCACCUGGUCUGGUCUUUACUUACAAACACUGAAUCCUUUAAUUGAACUUUUUCUUUGUAUUUCCUCAGAACCAAGCUCAGAACCAAGAUUAAAAUUAGGUGUCCACAGAAAACUUCAGAGCACCCCAAAACAGAAUCCGGGACUUGUAGAAACUCUCGGGCUCCUCAAGAGAGUGCUGCAAACACCUGAAGAAAAGGCAGAACUUGUGGAAGACUUGACAGGUAUCAGGAAGCUCCCACAAACAAACACCAAAAGAAACAGGAACAAAUAAAUGGCAGUCGGUUCCUCAGAAAGCUUAGGAGUGUGCUAAAGCACAAGUCAGACUCAGUAAAAACUAAGAAUUCUGACAGGAAUGCUGAGGGCAUCUAAAAUAAAACCAGAACCCAUGGAAGACCUGGCAGCCAUCAGAGAGCUCCUACAAACCUAAAGGAACAAACCAGUGAUGGUAAGGUUCACAGAAAGCUUAGGAACACUUGAAAGCAGACCCAGAACCAGUAGAAAUUCUAACAGGCAUCAUUAGGAGGCUGCUGAAGACACUCAAGAUAAAACCAGAGCCCUCCGAAGACCUGGCAGGUAUCAAAGAAUUCAGAGAAACACCAGCAGAACCAGAGAAAUACAUAAAUGGUUGUGAUGUCCACUUUAAAAAGCUUAGAACAGUCCAAAGCACAAACCCGAAUGAUGAGGAAAUCUAAGAAUAUUCAGGAUACAGCUGGAGAAGAACAAGGAAAGCGCAGACUCCGUGGAAGAUCUGAAGGCAUCAGAGAGCGUCUAAAAACACCAAAGCAAGCAGCUACAACCAGAGAGCAAAAGCAACAAGAACCCCUCAUCUCCCAAGCGGAAAUGUGGAAAAGGUGAAACCUCACUCCGGGUGUCAAAAGACCCAGUGGAAGACUCAACAGGAGCCAAGCGCCUUAGGAAAACUACACAGUAAAUGGUGGACCCCAGAAUAUAAGACAAUCAAGAAGAAGCUUGGAUAUCUCCCAGGGAGAAAUGUGAAUCCACUGAACUAACAACACUCAGGAAAAUUCUGAAAACUUCUGUGGGAAACUUCUGUGUGAACCCAGAAAAGACCCAACAGGCACCAAUGGUCAAAACUCCUAAAGAAAAAACCACGUAGAAGACUUGACAGGUGUCAAAAACGUGCAAAACAGAGUUAGUCAAAGAACAAGAUACACCCUAAAAAAACAAAAAGAGAGUUUCAAGAAUCUGAACAUUUGUCUAGUCCAAGAGAUAAUGUGCAGAGAUGAAUGGAAGAAAUAGGAACUUAAUUUUCAAGCAGAGCUGAGUCAGCAUUGUCCCUCUAUCACAGAUACAGGUAUGGAACUAAUAUAGAACUCAGGAGUCUCAUUGCUUCUAGCAACAGAAAAAUUUUCAAAUAAAGGAAAAUGGAAAGAAUACUGUGAAGAGUUUCUAAGAGAAAAACUCAGAAACUGUAACAUAAGAGGAAGAAGUAAGUUGGUAUAAAAUCAGAGAAAAGAGCAACUUGGAGUUUUAAGAGAUGUGUUUUAGUGAAAACAAGUACUGAAAAUUCAAAGCAAGGUAACAACAUACAAAGAAAGAAAAAUAAGAACUGGGAGAGAUCAAGACAAUGAAGGUGCUUAGUUAAGAAGUUGAAGAGGAAAAAAGUGAUAAACUUUAGUUGGAUGGCAUAAAUGUCCAACAUUGUAAAAUUUUUGUUGUAAAAUUAAAAGUGAAUUCUGUAAGUAAAAAACAAUAAAUAAAAUUAGGUUCUAUAUGUAUUUAAAUAUAGUCAAAGUAUUGGUUUUAUUUGACAUUUGAUUAUUUUAUAGGGAAAUUUUUGUUUUAAAGAAGACAUUCUUUCCAUCUCUAUGGAAGAAAGGAUGUUUUAAUUCCUUACAAUUAGCUGGUUGCUGAUUCAUUCUUUGUUGAUAAAAUACCUUCCCUUAGCCUAC